This 253-nucleotide unclassified non-coding RNA is filed under the name uncultured Parcubacteria group bacterium. RNAcentral's name for it is "contains 16S-23S intergenic spacer region". It matches the Rfam family "Bacterial small subunit ribosomal RNA", at positions 524 to 776 of the family's 1533-position model. The record is from RNAcentral.
UACGCGAACCCCAAGCGUUAUCCGGAAUCAUUGGGCGUAAAGGGUGUGUAGGCGUCCCGCCCUGUUUCCCGUCAAAUCCCAGAGCUUAACUCUGGUACGGCGAGAAAUACAGGCGGGAUUGAGGAUGCGAGAGGUGUACGGAACCCAUGGUGUAGAGGUGAAAUUCGUUGAUAUCAUGGGGAACGCCAAAGGCGAAGGCAGUACACUGGCGCAUUCCUGACGCUGAGACACGAAAGCCAGGGUAGCGAACGGG